UUGUCUCAAAGAUUAAUCCAUGCAUGUCUAAGUAUGAACUAACUCACACUGUGAAACUGCGGAUGGCUCAUUAAAUAAGUUAUAGUUUCUUUGAUGGUACCCUACUACUCGGAUAACCGUAGUAAUUCUAGAGAUAAUAUGUUCACCAAGUCCCGACUCUUUGGAAGGGAUGCAUUUAUUAGAUAAUAGACCAAUGUGGGCUUACCUUCUUCUCCGGUGAAUCAUGAUAACUCGACGGAUCGCACAACCCUUGUGCUGGCGAUGCUUCAUUAAAAUUUCUACUCUAUCAACUUUCGAUGGUAGGAUAGAGGCCUACCAUGGUGGUGUUGGGUGACGGAUAAUUAGGGUUUGAUUCUGGAGAGGGAGCCUGAGAAACGACUACCACAUCCAAGGAAGGCAACAUGCGCACAAAUUAACCAAUCCUGACAUGGGGAGGUAGUGACAAUAAAUAACAAUACUGGGCUCAUUGAGUAUGGUAAUUGGAAUGAGUACAAUCUAAAUCCCUUAACGAGGAUCCAUUGGAGGGAAAGUCUGGUGGAAGUAGCCAUGGUAAUUCCAACUCCAAUAGCAUAUAUUUAAGUUGUUGCAGUUAAAAAGCUCAUUGUUGGAUCUUGGGUCGUAAAGGUCAGUCCACCUACUCAGUGUGCACCUGCCCUUCUGUCCCUUUUUCUAGCGGCGUGCUCCUGGCCUUAAUUGGUUGGGUAGAUGGGAUCUAGGAUGCUCAUCUAGGACAUAUAAGAACCAAUUUUGGAUCCCGAGGGGCACCCAACCUUUUUUAGGUUGGAGGAUUUCGUUGUUUCCCUUUUCUUCUCUCUGAUUUGGUUGUUUUGAGGCUUCAUGAAGGCAUAUCCUUUCUAUCCAUGUCUUGUUUGUGCACGUCCUCCUAUUGCUUGAUACUUCGAGGGAAAGGUAUAAAAGAUA
Non-coding RNA from Picea glauca (white spruce), 921 nucleotides. The record is from Rfam. Lineage: Eukaryota; Viridiplantae; Streptophyta; Pinopsida; Pinales; Pinaceae.